UAAAAAUCACAGCUUUAGUGUCUUCUUCCACCUUCUCUGCAUACAAUAACGAUUGUAUUGUGAGAAGUCAGAAAACAAAACAAACAAAAUUUAAGAUAAAAAAAUUUAGUGUCUUUUUGUUCAUUGCAUCUGUUCAUGAAACUUCUCCAUCAUUGUAUUUGUUCAUGAAUCUGCUGAGAUCUCCAGCAUUUUGUUUGUGUGGGCUUAUUACGGGGAAGAUCUGUAUCAUUGCCUUCAAAUUUGUUGGAUUUUAAGCGUGGCUGACGUGGGAUUAUUUUACUUACGUGUCGGCCUAUGGUUAAUCGUGUUUCCCGCCCAAAAAUGUCUACAUCAAGCCUGUGUUUCUAAUUUUUUGCUUUUGUUGGUGCAUGUGUAUGAUUUCCUUUUUUUUUUUUUUGCUUCUACCUUACCUGUCAAUGAUUUUGUUGGUGCAUGUGUAUUAUUCCCUUUUUUGUUUUAAUUUUUUUUGUGCUUCAUUUCUUUGGUUACUUUAGUGUGUGUUACCAUAUGAUGGACCAUUUUUUUUAAAAUGCCAACUUUGUUUUUGUGGUUCCCUACCAUAUUGUUGGUGUUUUCUUUCUUUGUUGUUGCCGUUUUACUUUUGUUUAGUUAAGGGUGUUUAUUUUUUGGUAUAUGGUAACUGAACUUGGCUUUUAUUUUUGACCGAGAGCAACAAAGAAGACGACUAAUAGUGUCCGGCAUUUGGAGUACAGGGCCCAUCAAAUUCACUGCUGUCUACAAUUGUGCACCGAUUUGAGGCCGCAUUCCAUGUUGACAAGAAUGUCAUUGAGGUUCCUUUAUUCUUACCAUAGACAAUGGUACCCGAAUUAUCCAACUUAUGUGCUCUUCAAAUACAAAGGAGAAGAGCACUUUAUAAAGCUUCAUAAAUAUGGUAACCGAUACUUUUUUGGUGAUGAACUCAAGGGACUUAGAAGAACCCACGACAUUUACAAAAGUGUCAUCAUGCAUUUUGUUGCAUGGGACAAAAAUACUACUUUCCAUGUGGAGGUCAUGGGACCUCUCUAUAGACGAACACGUGAAAGGUCAGUCGCAACCACCAGACACCAUGUUUUUUUCCAUAGAUGUUAUCGAAGAUAUGAUACAACACAAUUAUCAAUUGGUUCUACUACCAGAGGCUUUAAAUUUUUUAUUUGGAUAAAAAAAAUAUGACUAUGCAACGUGGUCGUGGUAGACGUUACGAAUGGAUGAUCACCAUGAAUAAUGGCCUACCAUGUGUUGCUGAGUCAUGGAUCCAAUACUUAACUGACAAUCAUUUGAAGCCUGGAGAUGAGGUCGUCUUCUUCUACAGGUUCGACCAAUAUUUAUGGGAGGUCGUCUAUAGGAAGCAGGUUAAAUGGGAUGAGGAAGAGGACGAAGAUGACUCCACUUGAAGAACUCUUUAAUUAUUUAUGUUUGUUUGAUUUUUAUAUUAUGGUUGUAAUUUAAUUACCUUCGGGUAACAAUUUUUUUUUUUUUUUUUGUGUUUACUUUCUGAUGAACAUCGUUAACAACAGGACAUAUAUUAUUUUCUUA
Glycine soja is the source of this 1533-nucleotide RNA transcript. RefSeq lists it as uncharacterized. The record is from RefSeq and is a predicted model, not a curated record. The transcript is spliced from 4 exons. Lineage: Eukaryota; Viridiplantae; Streptophyta; Magnoliopsida; Fabales; Fabaceae.